AUUGAACGCUGGCGGCAUGCUUUACACAUGCAAGUCGAACGGUAACAGGCCUUCGGGUGCUGACGAGUGGCGCACGGGUGCGUAAUGCAUCGGAACGUGCCCAGAGGUGGGGGAUAACGCAGCGAAAGCUGUGCUAAUACCGCAUGUGAUCUGAGGAUGAAAGCGGGGGACCAAGCAGCAAUGUUUGGCCUCGCGCCUCUGGAGCGGCCGAUGUCAGAUUAGGUAGUUGGUGGGGUAAAGGCCUACCAAGCCGACGAUCUGUAGCUGGUCUGAGAGGACGACCAGCCACACUGGGACUGAGACACGGCCCAGACUCCUACGGGAGGCAGCAGUGGGGAAUUUUGGACAAUGGGCGCAAGCCUGAUCCAGCAAUGCCGCGUGCGGGAAGAAGGCCUUCGGGUUGUAAACCGCUUUUGUACGGAACGAAAAGGCUCUGGCUAAUACCUGGGGCUGAUGACGGUACCGUAAGAAUAAGCACCGGCUAACUACGUG
RNAcentral lists this ribosomal RNA (492 nucleotides) under uncultured bacterium. RNAcentral describes it as "partial 16S ribosomal RNA". It matches the Rfam family "Bacterial small subunit ribosomal RNA", at positions 30 to 507 of the family's 1533-position model. The record is from RNAcentral.